Molecule: long non-coding RNA, 2750 nt
Organism: Rattus norvegicus (Norway rat)
Lineage: Eukaryota; Metazoa; Chordata; Mammalia; Rodentia; Muridae
Gene: Dmdl1
Product: dystrophin like 1
Exons: 1
Source: RefSeq, marked validated
CAUGUGAAAGAACAGAAUAUGAUGAAUGCCGCCCUCAUUUGAUAUCCACAGACUCAAAAAUGGAUUUUCACUAUUUGGCAUAAAAGCAAACUGUAAAUGGAUUGAACAGUUGUUUCCUCAGUAGUGUUGGGAAGCUCCUCAAACACUGAGAAAAUUAUCCUGCAGCUGGCUUAUUUAUCUAAAACUACUGUCACAAGCAAAGCUGACAGAAAGAGUUCAGUAGGAAGAGGUUUGUUUUUUUUUUUUUAAGAUUCAUUUUGGUUUGCGUGGGUGGGUGCAUGCAUGCGUGCGUGCGUGCGUGUGCGCGUGUGUGUAUGCAUGUACACGCGCAUGCCGGAACAUGUGCAUGUGUGCAUGCAGGUGUCCAUAGAAGCCAGGAAAAGAUGUUACAGUCCCUGGAAUUGGAGUUGAAGGUGGAUGAAUAUAGUGUUUGGAACUGUACUCUGGAGUUCUACAAGAGGACAGAGCACUCUUACCUGCUGAGCUAUCUCUUGAUCUCUUCUCAGGAAGACUUUUGCCAUGACAGAAGUGAAAUUUAAAAACAGAGAGCCAUCUGCUGGUAUGUUAAGCAGUGUACCAAUUACUUAUGCUAGAUAAUGAGUGUCUGCAUAACUAAGCAUAAAGCAAUAAAAUGGUAUGCUUUAUAAGAGACAUUAAUCCAGAAGAUGUCAGAGGGGAGACCAGACUGGUACAAUAUGUUCUGAGAGUUUGUCAUUGAGCCAGACCAGAGUUCCAGUGAACUGAAGACCUUAGGAGGAAAAAGGAAUUAUAGCUAAGCUCAUUCCUAGUGACUUGUUAGAACCAGACUUCAUCUACAGUCCACUUCACACCACUGUUACAAAAUACCUGGCUGAAACAACCCAUUUAAUAAAUUACAGGAGUCAAGACAAAACAAUUAGACAUUUUGUAAUGUACUCUUAGCAGUUGAAUUCUAUGCCUUUUGCCAUAUCCAACAAACCUUAAAGAUGGGUUUUACCAUAAUGUGGAAGGAAACUGACUAUGCACAGGUAUCAUUGCCAGAGAACAUAGAGUGUAAUUUCCAGGUUAAAGGCCAUAUACUUCAGCAGGAAUUUCACUCAAAAAUUUGAGUCAGGCCUGUAGAGGGCCACAAUAACAUGCGCCACCACUAGAUGGCGCUGGCUUCCACUGCGCCCCACGUGGAAGGCCAAGUCAGUCAAGAUGGCGCCAGCCUUCGCUGCGCCAGCUGGCCCCCCUCUCAGGAAGUUAACUGUGCACAUGUGCAAGAGUGCCUUCCUGCCAGGUCUUUGCCCAUUCCGGGGCGUGCCUGAUGAGAUCAUGAGUAAGCAACCAAUCAGGUGUGGAUGCGUGCGCGAGGGUUAAAUAGGCGCGCCUAGCCUGCGCGCGGGGCUUCUCCAUGAGAUAGGAAUAAAGUAUCACUCAUAGCAAGAAUUUCUAUGUCUCGCGUGCUUCUUGCCGGCGGAAAGUCGCGCGUGGGACAUUUGGUGCCGAGAAACCCGGGACAAAAACAUCGCCGGCGCUACGAGAGGCCUCCGUUUCACGGAAGAAAUUCAGAAGCUAUGGAAUACAGGUAAAAAACUCUGAGAGACCAUGGCUAGCCUUGAUCUGCUCCAACUCAGUCCCCUGCCGGACGUGGCAGGUGCCGCUGUGGUUGCUCUGGCAACCCUUGGGCUUUUUCUAUUGACCUUUGAGUUUCUAGCUACCGCCAAACGGCUUCGGAGGUCACGUGGGAACUGCUCAGCUAUAACAGCAAAGCGGAGAGCGUUGGGGGAAGGGCGAGACAGUGCGUCAGAAACAGGGUUAGAGAACGAAUUAAAGAGUUUUAAGGGAAAAAGUGCACUUAAGAAAAGAGACCCUCUCGAGGACUUUAGAUCCGAGGGAGAGGGAGAGUGGGGAAAAAAUGCCCCGGGAGAGAACAAGGGAGGAGAUAAACAGAACACAAUAUUUUGGGAGAAAAAUUUUGUCUUUAUGCCUGUAAAAGGUGUACUUAAGCUCCGGCGCCGGCUCUCGGGACGCCACGGCGUCCGUGCACUGACGCGACAGCUUUACAGAGUCAUACUGAUCAGAUCUGAUCGAGGCAGACCGCCUGAAAAUUUAUUCAGGAGAAUCAAACAAAAGGACAUCUCAGUGCCCGUGCACAGCCUGAUAGAGUUAAUGUAAUUGGGUUGUGAGUAAAAAUACUCAGGGCUGUGUUUCACUUCCAUACCAUUGGCGAAUAUCGGUCAUACUGCUCAGAUAAUAUCUCUCAGUGUCUUACAGAAUUGGGUUUCAACACGUUGGUGGACUAGUCCAGGAAUUGAGACAAUCCAUCGCCCAUAUCAACUCCACUCGAGUGGAUAGUCGCCGUGAACACCAUCUGGCUUUUUCCCCUCUUUGUCUAUUGUUUGUCUCUGGUGCACCAGGAUGUCCCCAUGUCUGUCAGUGUAUGUCUGUGGUUUUUGUUUCUCGUUGUCUAAAAGUUUUAUGUUUCAUGUUCAAAAGAAAAAAUGGUAAAAACUUUACCUGCUGGUCGUGCACACCUUAACUUGGUUUUAACUCAUUUCAAAAAGGAACAAUGAAUAAAAAACAGUUUUAAUCAGGUCUUUGAAGCCCUGUGCCUAGAGCCAGGUGUCUAGAUUAGCUGGAGAAGCUGACCAGAAGCUAAGCGUCUACACGAGCUGAUCUUAAAAGCGCCAACAGCGGUUGGGGAUUUAGCUCAGUGGUAGAGCGCUUGCCCAGGAAGCGCAAGGCCCUGGGUUCGGUCCCCAGCUCCGAAAAAAAAAAAAAAAAAA